AGCAGCCGCGGUAAUUCCAGCUCCAAUAGCGUAUAUUAAAGUUGUUGCAGUUAAAAAGCUCGUAGUUGAAUUUCGGGAUCAAUUUGUUGGUCGUACCUUGGUACGUACUGACAUUAUUGGUUUCCCCCUUCUGAGAAUCCUUGAUGUCAUUAAUUUGGUGUCUUGGGGAAUCAGGACUGUUACCUUGAAAAAAUUUAGAGUAGUUUAAAGCAGGCAUACGCUUGAAUACAUUAGCAUGGAAUAAUGAAAUAGGACGUUCGAUUCUAUUUUGUUGGUUUCUAGGAUCGAUGUAAUGAUUAAUAGGGAUAGUUGGGGGCAUUAGUAUUCAAUUGUCAGAGGUGAAAUUCUUGGAUUUAUUGAAGACUAACUACUGCGAAAGCAUUUGCCAAGGAUGUUUUCAUUAAUCAAGAACGAAAGUUAGGGAUCGAAGACGAUCAGAUACCGUCGUAGUCUUAACCAUAAACUAUGCCGACUAGGGAUCGGAUGGAUGUUAAUUUUUAAUGUACUCAUUCGGCGCCUU
Molecule: ribosomal RNA, 520 nt
Filed under: uncultured Glomus
Lineage: Eukaryota; Fungi; Glomeromycota; Glomeromycetes; Glomerales; Glomeraceae
Description: SSU rRNA
Rfam family: Eukaryotic small subunit ribosomal RNA
Source: RNAcentral